This is a small nuclear RNA of Otolemur garnettii (small-eared galago), 101 nucleotides long. Lineage: Eukaryota; Metazoa; Chordata; Mammalia; Primates; Galagidae. The record is from Ensembl.
GUGCUUGCUUUGGCAGCACUUACACUAAAAUUAGACAGAGAAGAUUAGCAUGGCCCCUGAGCAAGGAUGACAUGCAAAUUUGUGAAGCAUUCCAAUUUUUG